AGAAGGAGCCUGAGGCUGAGGUGGAGGCUGGGAGUUUGGGGCUGGUGGAUCCUCUGAAGGCCAUGGAAUCCUCCACGGGGCCCAGGAUGCCUUUGCUCAAAUACUGCAGCGUGGCCACAAGCCUGAAGGCCCCUGGCUGGGACGGUGCUGCUCCACCCUGGAACCUCUCCUUCACCUACCCCUUUGCCCUCCAAGCACCCUGGCUCACCGGGCACAAGCCCCUUGCAAGAAGGGAAGCAGAUGGUUUUUACUACCGGGCCCAAAUAAAGGCCGCUCCCGAGCUAACCCUUUCCUCGUUGACUGCAAGGGCAGUGCUGAGGGCGGCUCUGUGGCCACAAUCGCUCCUUGCCUACAUGAGCCUCAUAGGUGAACAACCAUCCUGUUGGUCUUGGACACAUCCCUGGUUGGUCUUGGACACAGGAGCGACGCUUCUUGGGGGUGCUGGGAGGAGGAGACUGCAUUGAGAAAAGGUCCAGGGAGGACCCAGCUGGAGAGACAGGGGGUCCUGCUUGUGGAAUUCGAGGCUCCUCUUGUCGCAGGCCCAAAGCUGCCAGCCCAGCAG
Molecule: small RNA, 562 nt
Filed under: Pan troglodytes (chimpanzee)
Lineage: Eukaryota; Metazoa; Chordata; Mammalia; Primates; Hominidae
Description: processed transcript
Source: RNAcentral